Molecule: ribosomal RNA, 1525 nt
Filed under: Acinetobacter baumannii 45075_8
Lineage: Bacteria; Pseudomonadati; Pseudomonadota; Gammaproteobacteria; Moraxellales; Moraxellaceae
Description: bacterial SSU rRNA
Rfam family: Bacterial small subunit ribosomal RNA
Source: RNAcentral
AGAGUUUGAUCAUGGCUCAGAUUGAACGCUGGCGGCAGGCUUAACACAUGCAAGUCGAGCGGGGGAAGGUAGCUUGCUACCGGACCUAGCGGCGGACGGGUGAGUAAUGCUUAGGAAUCUGCCUAUUAGUGGGGGACAACAUCUCGAAAGGGAUGCUAAUACCGCAUACGUCCUACGGGAGAAAGCAGGGGAUCUUCGGACCUUGCGCUAAUAGAUGAGCCUAAGUCGGAUUAGCUAGUUGGUGGGGUAAAGGCCUACCAAGGCGACGAUCUGUAGCGGGUCUGAGAGGAUGAUCCGCCACACUGGGACUGAGACACGGACCAGACUCCUACGGGAGGCAGCAGUGGGGAAUAUUGGACAAUGGGGGGAACCCUGAUCCAGCCAUGCCGCGUGUGUGAAGAAGGCCUUAUGGUUGUAAAGCACUUUAAGCGAGGAGGAGGCUACUUUAGUUAAUACCUAGAGAUAGUGGACGUUACUCGCAGAAUAAGCACCGGCUAACUCUGUGCCAGCAGCCGCGGUAAUACAGAGGGUGCGAGCGUUAAUCGGAUUUACUGGGCGUAAAGCGUGCGUAGGCGGCUUAUUAAGUCGGAUGUGAAAUCCCCGAGCUUAACUUGGGAAUUGCAUUCGAUACUGGUGAGCUAGAGUAUGGGAGAGGAUGGUAGAAUUCCAGGUGUAGCGGUGAAAUGCGUAGAGAUCUGGAGGAAUACCGAUGGCGAAGGCAGCCAUCUGGCCUAAUACUGACGCUGAGGUACGAAAGCAUGGGGAGCAAACAGGAUUAGAUACCCUGGUAGUCCAUGCCGUAAACGAUGUCUACUAGCCGUUGGGGCCUUUGAGGCUUUAGUGGCGCAGCUAACGCGAUAAGUAGACCGCCUGGGGAGUACGGUCGCAAGACUAAAACUCAAAUGAAUUGACGGGGGCCCGCACAAGCGGUGGAGCAUGUGGUUUAAUUCGAUGCAACGCGAAGAACCUUACCUGGCCUUGACAUACUAGAAACUUUCCAGAGAUGGAUUGGUGCCUUCGGGAAUCUAGAUACAGGUGCUGCAUGGCUGUCGUCAGCUCGUGUCGUGAGAUGUUGGGUUAAGUCCCGCAACGAGCGCAACCCUUUUCCUUACUUGCCAGCAUUUCGGAUGGGAACUUUAAGGAUACUGCCAGUGACAAACUGGAGGAAGGCGGGGACGACGUCAAGUCAUCAUGGCCCUUACGGCCAGGGCUACACACGUGCUACAAUGGUCGGUACAAAGGGUUGCUACACAGCGAUGUGAUGCUAAUCUCAAAAAGCCGAUCGUAGUCCGGAUUGGAGUCUGCAACUCGACUCCAUGAAGUCGGAAUCGCUAGUAAUCGCGGAUCAGAAUGCCGCGGUGAAUACGUUCCCGGGCCUUGUACACACCGCCCGUCACACCAUGGGAGUUUGUUGCACCAGAAGUAGCUAGCCUAACUGCAAAGAGGGCGGUUACCACGGUGUGGCCGAUGACUGGGGUGAAGUCGUAACAAGGUAGCCGUAGGGGAACCUGCGGCUGGAUCACCU